Nicotiana tabacum (common tobacco) is the source of this 679-nucleotide non-coding RNA. The record is from RefSeq and is a predicted model, not a curated record. NCBI's taxonomy places the organism in Eukaryota, Viridiplantae, Streptophyta, Magnoliopsida, Solanales, Solanaceae.
CACUAUAUACAUUUGGCUUCCGCAACAAAUAUCACUUGCCUAUCUUUGAGUUAAUGCUAUUUGUAUUUGCUGCUUCCGUUAUGUGUAUACUUUAGGGGUGAAGAAGCCGGCUGGAACAGCUGAAGAAAUUGAAAAACAAUUCGGUUGUGAAUCGUCGAGGCUUAUUAUGGUGGGUGAUAGGCCGUUUACAGACAUAGUUUAUGGUAAUAGAAAUGGUUUUCUUACUAUUUUAACAGAGCCACUAAGUCGUGCAGAGGAACCAUUAAUUGUACAGCAGGUCAGGGUACUUGAGGUAGCUUUUGUGAACCGAUGGAGUAGCCAGGGGAUGAAGCCAGUCAAUCAUACGCUUCUUCCUGAUUGCCAGCAGUGUGUGAAAGACGAACCACUUUAGGGAAUUUCUUUAGAUAAAGUGAGAAAAAAUUUGUUUGCCCUCUUCCCAUAAAGAGAAAAAGAACACCCAACCCAACCAUGAACAGACUUUUUUUUGUUACCACUAAUAAUUAUACAGGGUUAUUUCCAUGGGUUUGCCUCUUGCGUUUGGAAUCUGAUAAGAAGGCUAUAUCAAUCAUUUCAGCAUUUCUUUGAUUGAAUCUUAGAAUAAUUUUCUCUUGAAUCGAUGCUGCUUGUGCCUGAAUCUAAAAAUUUAUUUGGUGAUAAUGAUAGAAGCAUUUGUCAACGA